UACGGGGGGAGCAAGCGUUGUUCGGAUUUCCUGGGCGUAAAGGGCGCGUAGGCGGCCACCGCAAGUCAAUUGUGAAAUCUCCGGGCUUAACUCGGAAAGGUCAACUGAUACUGCGGGGCUAGAGUGCGGAAGGGGCAACUGGAAUUCUCGGUGUAGCGGUGGAAUGCGUAGAUAUCGAGAGGAACACCUGCGGCGAAGGCGGGUUGCUGGGCCGACACUGACGCUGAGGCGCGAAAGCCAGGGGAGCGAACGGG
Molecule: ribosomal RNA, 254 nt
Filed under: uncultured bacterium
Lineage: Bacteria
Description: partial 16S ribosomal RNA
Rfam family: Bacterial small subunit ribosomal RNA
Source: RNAcentral